This 423-nucleotide ribosomal RNA is filed under the name uncultured bacterium. RNAcentral describes it as "bacterial SSU rRNA". It matches the Rfam family "Bacterial small subunit ribosomal RNA", at positions 207 to 622 of the family's 1533-position model. The record is from RNAcentral.
AAGACCUUGCACUUUUGGAGCGGCCGAUGUCUGAUUAGCUAGUUGGUGGGGCAAUGGCCUACCAAAGCUUCGAUCAGUAGCUGGUCUGAGAGGACGGCCAGCCACACUGGGACUGAGACACGGCCCAGACUCCUACGGGAGGCAGCAGUGGGGAAUUUUGGACAAUGGGCGCAAGCCUGAUCCAGCCAUGCCGCGUGAGUGAAGAAGGCCUUCGGGUUGUAAAGCUCUUUCAGCCGGGAAGAAAAGGUUGCGACUAAUAAUCGCAAUCCAUGACGGUACCGAAAGAAGAAGCACCGGCUAACUACGUGCCAGCAGCCGCGGUAAUACGUAGGGUGCGAGCGUUAAUCGGAAUUACUGGGCGUAAAGGGUGCGCAGGCGGUUUUGUAAGUCAGAUGUGAAAUCCCCGGGCUUAACCUGGGAACU